Long non-coding RNA from Scatophagus argus, 2208 nucleotides. RefSeq lists it as uncharacterized. The record is from RefSeq and is a predicted model, not a curated record. Lineage: Eukaryota; Metazoa; Chordata; Actinopteri; Scatophagidae. The transcript has 3 exons.
GUGAUAAAGUAAAAGCAUCAGUGACAAACUUCCUGAGGUUGGUUAACUCUAGUGGAUGAUCAGUGUCAGAGGGAUAUCUUUUAUCAGUGUUUGGCCCUGAAUAUAACUCAGCCUUACAGGAUCUCAUGGGAAAAUUCCUCUUCAGUCUGCAAAAGCUGUUGCCUGUCCCAAGCAUUGAGGAAUUUUGUCUUCCUCCACUGACGAUAGCAUCCUUUCCAGCCUGUCCUAUCACCUCGCCAAAUGUGGACUAUGACGAAGGAGACACGCUUUUCAAAUCUGGAUCCACCUUUGUCUCACAAGAUUGGCAGGGAGAUAGCUUGCUUGGCAGAGAAUCAAAAAAGGAUAAAGAAGAAAAGGAGAUAAAUACAGAAUUGAUGAGGAAUGUAGCAAGAAAUGGACCACGGCAUGCUGAUGAUCUGACUGAAGACCAGGGAGCCUCUGUUGAAGUAAUACUGCCUGCUUUUUAUGAAAGUGAGACCAAUGAUGGUGAUGACAUGGACAAAAAAUGGUUUCACCCUAUGAAAACUGGCAGUAGGAAUUCCUCACAAACCUUCAAGUGUCUUGUUUAUGGCCAAAAUUUUGUCUCCCUUUACAAACUAAAGAAGCACAGGACUACCCAUCGUGGUUGCUUUACAAGCAGAAAGAGUGGCUUUUUUGAGGAGAUAAAUGUGCAUCCUACUUGUAUUGAGAAAAAUUCUUCUCAAAGUGAGGCUGAGCUUCUGUCUUUGGCAAACGCACUUUAUCAGUCAAGUUUGAAUAGUCUUACAAACUUUGAGCAGUCUAAUGAUGACUGUGGUCUUAUUUGUGUCUUUAUUUGUUUGUGGCAAGGCUUUCACUUACCAAAAGAACUUUGACAAACACCAGAGGAUUUGUGCUGUCAGUAGUAAACGACCAGCAGAGACACAAUGUCCCGCAACCUUAGUUCAUCACUCCAAACCAAACCCUAUUGAUACGACCAAAGUGUCCCACCCCAAUGAAACUGAAACUAGGCCCUCAAAUGUUGUACCCCUGGAAUCAAUAUCUAAGAGAAAUAGUCGUGUCAAACAGUGCUCAGUGUGUUGCAAAAUAUUUACAUCUUCUACUGACUGGAUGAGGCACAUGAGAUGCCACCUUGAACAGAGUCCUUUCCUUUGUUCUUACUGUGGGAAAGACUUUGACAACUAUGAGGACUACGAGACACACCAGGAAGGUAAAUGCAGAGUUUCAAACCAGCACCAGCAGGACAGUACCUUGAGCAGCUCAAAGAAACAAAAUUAGGAGAAUACAGUUGUUUCAAGUGACACAGAUCAGGUCCCAGCAAUCAUAGCUGCUCCUGCCAAGUCACAGGCCAUGCAACCAUAUAAAUCAACUCUGAUGUAUCAGGACUGUGGCCAGGUUUUUACUUACUACAAGAGGUUUGAGAAGCACCAGAGCAAGCAGUUCCAAAAGAGAUCCUCAAAGGAAAAGGCAAACCACCACAAACUAUUUCGUUAUCAAUGCAGGUAAUUUCCCAUCUGCUGACACAAGCAAUGGAAGCGAUGCUGAGACAAGUUGUGAAAAUGCAAAAACUCCAAUCUCCACCAACCAUGCUGAUGGCUCCCAGGCAAAAUCUUGCACCAUCAAGUGCACCAUGUGUGAGAAGAGCUUUUCAAAAAUCGUCCUUAUGAAGAAACACUAUUCCAAGUCUCAUAAAGUUAGAGGCUCAUACCCCUGUCCUUUGUGCAAGAGAACCUUUGUGAGAUUGUGUGAAUUGGUUCAACAUCAGCAAAACAAAAAAUUGUACCAGUGCGCUGCCUGCAAGAAAUGUUACUCAAAAUCAGGACUAAUUGAUCAUGAAAAAGUACAUACUGCGAGUUUAACACCACGCAUUUGUGAAACGUGUGGAAAAAGCUUCAGAUUUCUCGCUCAUCUGGUUCUGCACCAGAGGAAACACAGAGAGCGACAGCCUAGUGUUUGUUCCUACUGUGGGAAACAGUUCAGUACAAAAGAGUGCCUGAGAGCGCUCAUGGUGAGGCACACAGGUGGUUACCCAUGCCCAAUGUGUGGGAAAAAACAUACCUGAAAUGGCAUCUGUAUAAACACACAGGUCAAGAGCCAUACCUCUGUGACACCUGUGGAAAAGGCUGGCCGAGCUCAGCUCAGCUCAAGCUUCACGUGAUUCAACAUACAGAGGAAAGACCGUUCAAGUGUGAAGACUGUGGCGUGUCCUACAAGAGGGAAUCCUCUUUG